Pogoniulus pusillus (Red-fronted tinkerbird) is the source of this 552-nucleotide long non-coding RNA. RefSeq lists it as uncharacterized. The transcript is spliced from 4 exons. NCBI's taxonomy places the organism in Eukaryota, Metazoa, Chordata, Aves, Piciformes, Lybiidae. The record is from RefSeq and is a predicted model, not a curated record.
CUUGAAGCCACUGUGCAGGCUGAGACCUGCCUGAUUGUUGAGGGAGGUGGAAGCCUUGAUCAGACACAGAAACUCCUGAGCAAGAUGAUGCCCGACUCCUUCGUGAGGUUUCUGCCCUGAACCAAAGUCUUCUCUGGCUGAGUCAUCAGCAAGUGUAACUAAAUGAAGACCUCCCUGGGUCCCCCAGGCCUUUUCUUUCUGCUGAAGACAUCUGCCAGGAACAAGGAGACCAUGACAACCCUUCCAUGGUGGAGUUGCUAUCAUGAGCUGCUGGGGAAUUAGCUCACCGCUCAGGGCCUGGAUUGAUUAGCUGCUGUGAGGCUCUAUCCAGAGCUGUGAGACUGAGCCCCACUCCUCCAGUGGGCUUUCCCACUCUGUCCUCUGCCCACAGCUCUGCGAGGGAACACAGAAGAGUGGAUGCAGGGAUCUCCCUGUCAAACACAGUCCAUGACAGCUCUUUGCUAAGACUAAUUAGGAAACCAAUCAGGGGAAGUGAAUUUACAAGUCUCCUCAGUGGGAACUGAACAGAGACCUGCAGAUUCCAUCUCGGCA